RNAcentral lists this ribosomal RNA (425 nucleotides) under uncultured bacterium. RNAcentral describes it as "bacterial SSU rRNA". It matches the Rfam family "Bacterial small subunit ribosomal RNA", at positions 354 to 796 of the family's 1533-position model. The record is from RNAcentral.
GUGGGGGAUAUUGCACAAUGGGGGAAACCCUGAUGCAGCGACGCCGCGUGGAGGAAGAAGGUUUUCGGAUUGUAAACUCCUGUCGUAAGGGACGAUAAUGACGGUACCUUACAAGAAAGCCACGGCUAACUACGUGCCAGCAGCCGCGGUAAAACGUAGGUGGCAAGCGUUGUCCGGAAUUACUGGGUGUAAAGGGAGCGCAGGCGGGAAAUCAAGUUGGAUGUGAAAUGUCGGGGCUUAACCCCGGAACUGCAUCCAAAACUGAUAUUCUUGAGUGAAGUAGAGGUAGGCGGAAUUCCGAGUGUAGCGGUGAAAUGCGUAGAUAUUCGGAGGAACACCAGUGGCGAAGGCGGCCUACUGGGCACCAACUGACGCUGAGGCUCGAAAGUGUGGGUAGCAAACAGGAUUAGAAACCCUAGUAGUCC